Molecule: ribosomal RNA, 150 nt
Filed under: Colletotrichum gloeosporioides
Lineage: Eukaryota; Fungi; Ascomycota; Sordariomycetes; Glomerellales; Glomerellaceae
Description: 5.8S ribosomal RNA
Rfam family: 5.8S ribosomal RNA
About the family: 5.8S ribosomal RNA (5.8S rRNA) is a component of the large subunit of the eukaryotic ribosome. It is transcribed by RNA polymerase I as part of the 45S precursor that also contains 18S and 28S rRNA.
Source: RNAcentral
AAACUUUUAACAACGGAUCUCUUGUGUUCUGGCAUCGAUGAAGAACGCAGCGAAAUGCGAUAAGUAAUGUGAAUUUGCAGAAUUCAGUGAAUCAUCGAAUCUUUGAACGCACAUUGCGCCCGCCAGCAUUCUGGCGGGCAUGCCUGUUCG